This 499-nucleotide ribosomal RNA is filed under the name uncultured Streptococcus sp. Its description in RNAcentral is "bacterial SSU rRNA". It matches the Rfam family "Bacterial small subunit ribosomal RNA", at positions 28 to 509 of the family's 1533-position model. Lineage: Bacteria; Bacillati; Bacillota; Bacilli; Lactobacillales; Streptococcaceae. The record is from RNAcentral.
GACGAACGCUGGCGGCGUGCCUAAUACAUGCAAGUAGAACGCUGAAGAGAGGAGCUUGCUCUUCUUGGAUGAGUUGCGAACGGGUGAGUAACGCGUAGGUAACCUGCCUUGUAGCGGGGGAUAACUAUUGGAAACGAUAGCUAAUACCGCAUAACAAUGAAUGACACAUGUCAUUUAUUUGAAAGGGGCAAUUGCUCCACUACAAGAUGGACCUGCGUUGUAUUAGCUAGUAGGUGAGGUAACGGCUCACCUAGGCGACGAUACAUAGCCGACCUGAGAGGGUGAUCGGCCACACUGGGACUGAGACACGGCCCAGACUCCUACGGGAGGCAGCAGUAGGGAAUCUUCGGCAAUGGGGGCAACCCUGACCGAGCAACGCCGCGUGAGUGAAGAAGGUUUUCGGAUCGUAAAGCUCUGUUGUAAGUCAAGAACGAGUGUGAGAGUGGAAAGUUCACACUGUGACGGUAUCUUACCAGAAAGGGACGGCUAACUACGUGCC